This 207-nucleotide unclassified non-coding RNA is filed under the name Hevea brasiliensis (rubber tree). The record is from RNAcentral. Lineage: Eukaryota; Viridiplantae; Streptophyta; Magnoliopsida; Malpighiales; Euphorbiaceae.
GCUUAACCGGCUGCCGCGACCUCGCCCGCAGCGAGGGGCAAAAGAAACAGAGACUGCCGCAAGCAGGCCAUACUCUUCUUGACACCACCCCCAUUUUUUCCACUCCUAUUAUCCCCCUCCUACCCUUUAUUCCGUCUAAUAUAUUGGAGAUUCAAGGCACCAAAAUUUAAAUCAAAAAAAGGAAGAAUUCACAAGAUGGUAUUCUCA